This 482-nucleotide ribosomal RNA is filed under the name uncultured bacterium. RNAcentral describes it as "partial 16S ribosomal RNA". It matches the Rfam family "Bacterial small subunit ribosomal RNA", at positions 28 to 523 of the family's 1533-position model. The record is from RNAcentral.
AGUGAACGUUGGCGGCGUGGAUUAGGCAUGCAAGUCGAGCGAGAACCGUAGCAAUACGGGGACAGCGGCGAAAGGGACAGUAAUGUGUAGGUACCUACCCCGAGGUCUGGGAUAGCUGCGGGAAACUGCAGGUAAUACCGGAUAAUGUCUUCGGACCAAAGGUGUGAUUCCACCUUGGGAGGGGCCUGCAUCCUAUUAGCUAGUUGGCGGGGUAAUGGCCCACCAAGGCAACGAUGGGUAGCGGGUGUGAGAGCACGACCCGCGUCAUUGGGACUGAGAUACUGCCCAGACACCUACGGGUGGCUGCAGUCGAGGAUCUUCGGCAAUGGGCGAAAGCCCGACCGAGCGACGCCGCGUGCGGGAUGAAGGCCUUCGGGUUGUAAACCGCUGUCGUAGAGGAGGAAAUGCAGGGGGGUUCUCCCUUCUGUUUGACCUAUUCUAGGAGGAAGGACGGGCUAAGUUCGUGCCAGCAGCCGCCGUAA